Molecule: ribosomal RNA, 1372 nt
Filed under: uncultured bacterium
Lineage: Bacteria
Description: bacterial SSU rRNA
Rfam family: Bacterial small subunit ribosomal RNA
Source: RNAcentral
GAUGAACGCUGGCGGCGUGCCUAAUACAUGCAAGUCGAGCGAACGGACGAGAAGCUUGCUUCUCUGAUGUUAGCGGCGGACGGGUGAGUAACACGUGGAUAACCUACCUAUAAGACUGGGAUAACUUCGGGAAACCGGAGCUAAUACCGGAUAAUAUUUUGAACCGCAUGGUUCAAAAGUGAAAGACGGUCUUGCUGUCACUUAUAGAUGGAUCCGCGCUGCAUUAGCUAGUUGGUAAGGUAACGGCUUACCAGGGCAACGAUGCAUAGCCGACCUGAGAGGGUGAUCGGCCACACUGGAACUGAGACACGGUCCAGACUCCUACGGGAGGCAGCAGUAGGGAAUCUUCCGCAAUGGGCGAAAGCCUGACGGAGCAACGCCGCGUGAGUGAUGAAGGUCUUCGGAUCGUAAAACUCUGUUAUUAGGGAAGAACAUAUGUGUAAGUAACUGUGCACAUCUUGACGGUACCUAAUCAGAAAGCCACGGCUAACUACGUGCCAGCAGCCGCGGUAAUACGUAGGUGGCAAGCGUUAUCCGGAAUUAUUGGGCGUAAAGCGCGCGUAGGCGGUUUUUUAAGUCUGAUGUGAAAGCCCACGGCUCAACCGUGGAGGGUCAUUGGAAACUGGAAAACUUGAGUGCAGAAGAGGAAAGUGGAAUUCCAUGUGUAGCGGUGAAAUGCGCAGAGAUAUGGAGGAACACCAGUGGCGAAGGCGACUUUCUGGUCUGUAACUGACGCUGAUGUGCGAAAGCGUGGGGAUCAAACAGGAUUAGAUACCCUGGUAGUCCACGCCGUAAACGAUGAGUGCUAAGUGUUAGGGGGUUUCCGCCCCUUAGUGCUGCAGCUAACGCAUUAAGCACUCCGCCUGGGGAGUACGACCGCAAGGUUGAAACUCAAAGGAAUUGACGGGGACCCGCACAAGCGGUGGAGCAUGUGGUUUAAUUCGAAGCAACGCGAAGAACCUUACCAAAUCUUGACAUCCUUUGACAACUCUAGAGAUAGAGCUUUCCCCUUCGGGGGACAAAGUGACAGGUGGUGCAUGGUUGUCGUCAGCUCGUGUCGUGAGAUGUUGGGUUAAGUCCCGCAACGAGCGCAACCCUUAAGCUUAGUUGCCAUCAUUAAGUUGGGCACUCUAAGUUGACUGCCGGUGACAAACCGGAGGAAGGUGGGGAUGACGUCAAAUCAUCAUGCCCCUUAUGAUUUGGGCUACACACGUGCUACAAUGGACAAUACAAAGGGCAGCGAAACCGUGAGGUCAAGCAAAUCCCAUAAAGUUGUUCUCAGUUCGGAUUGUAGUCUGCAACUCGACUACAUGAAGCUGGAAUCGCUAGUAAUCGUAGAUCAGCAUGCUACGGUGAAUACGUUCCCGGGUCU